Molecule: ribosomal RNA, 944 nt
Filed under: Escherichia coli
Lineage: Bacteria; Pseudomonadati; Pseudomonadota; Gammaproteobacteria; Enterobacterales; Enterobacteriaceae
Description: bacterial LSU rRNA
Rfam family: Bacterial large subunit ribosomal RNA
Source: RNAcentral
GUAGCAAGGUUAACCGAAUAGGGGAGCCGAAGGGAAACCGAGUCUUAACUGGGCGUUAAGUUGCAGGGUAUAGACCCGAAACCCGGUGAUCUAGCCAUGGGCAGGUUGAAGGUUGGGUAACACUAACUGGAGGACCGAACCGACUAAUGUUGAAAAAUUAGCGGAUGACUUGUGGCUGGGGGUGAAAGGCCAAUCAAACCGGGAGAUAGCUGGUUCUCCCCGAAAGCUAUUUAGGUAGCGCCUCGUGAAUUCAUCUCCGGGGGUAGAGCACUGUUUCGGCAAGGGGGUCAUCCCGACUUACCAACCCGAUGCAAACUGCGAAUACCGGAGAAUGUUAUCACGGGAGACACACGGCGGGUGCUAACGUCCGUCGUGAAGAGGGAAACAACCCAGACCGCCAGCUAAGGUCCCAAAGUCAUGGUUAAGUGGGAAACGAUGUGGGAAGGCCCAGACAGCCAGGAUGUUGGCUUAGAAGCAGCCAUCAUUUAAAGAAAGCGUAAUAGCUCACUGGUCGAGUCGGCCUGCGCGGAAGAUGUAACGGGGCUAAACCAUGCACCGAAGCUGCGGCAGCGACGCUUAUGCGUUGUUGGGUAGGGGAGCGUUCUGUAAGCCUGUGAAGGUGUGCUGUGAGGCAUGCUGGAGGUAUCAGAAGUGCGAAUGCUGACAUAAGUAACGAUAAAGCGGGUGAAAAGCCCGCUCGCCGGAAGACCAAGGGUUCCUGUCCAACGUUAAUCGGGGCAGGGUGAGUCGACCCCUAAGGCGAGGCCGAAAGGCGUAGUCGAUGGGAAACAGGUUAAUAUUCCUGUACUUGGUGUUACUGCGAAGGGGGGACGGAGAAGGCUAUGUUGGCCGGGCGACGGUUGUCCCGGUUUAAGCGUGUAGGCUGGUUUUCCAGGCAAAUCCGGAAAAUCAAGGCUGAGGCGUGAUGACGAGGCACUACGGUG